CGCCCGCUCAGAAACUCAAAGGAUUGACGGGGGCCCGCACAAGCGGCGGAGCAUGCGGAUUAAUUCGAUGCAACGCGAAGAACCUUACCAAGGCUUGACAUAUACGAGAACGCCGCAGAAAUGUGGAACUCUUUGGACACUCGUAUACAGGUGGUGCAUGGUUGUCGUCAGCUCGUGUCGUGAGAUGUUGGGUUAAGUCCCGCAACGAGCGCAACCCUUGUCUUAUGUUGCCAGCACGUGAUGGUGGGGACUCGUAAGAGACUGCCGGGGUCAACUCGGAGGAAGGUGGGGACGACGUCAAGUCAUCAUGCCCCUUAUGUCCAGGGCUUCACACAUGCUACAAUGGCCAGUACAGAGGGCUGCGAGACCGUGAGGUGGAGCGAAUCCCUUAAAGCUGGUCUCAGUUCGGAUCGGGGUCUGCAACUCGACCCCGUGAAGUCGGAGUCGCUAGUAAUCGCAGAUCAGCAACGCUGCGGUGAAUACGUUCCCGGGCCUU
Molecule: ribosomal RNA, 496 nt
Filed under: uncultured Rhodococcus sp.
Lineage: Bacteria; Bacillati; Actinomycetota; Actinomycetes; Mycobacteriales; Nocardiaceae
Description: partial 16S ribosomal RNA
Rfam family: Bacterial small subunit ribosomal RNA
Source: RNAcentral